UGAGGAAUAUUGGUCAAUGGGCGAGAGCCUGAACCAGCCAAGUAGCGUGCAGGAUGACGGCCCUAUGGGUUGUAAACUGCUUUUGUAUGGGGAUAAAGUCAAUCACGUGUGAUUGUUUGCAGGUACCAUACGAAUAAGGACCGGCUAAUUCCGUGCCAGCAGCCGCGGUAAUACGGAAGGUCCGGGCGUUAUCCGGAUUUAUUGGGUUUAAAGGGAGCGUAGGCUGGAGAUUAAGUGUGUUGUGAAAUGUAGACGCUCAACGUCUGACUUGCAGCGCAUACUGGUUUCCUUGAGUACGCACAACGUUGGCGGAAUUCGUCGUGUAGCGGUGAAAUGCUUAGAUAUGACGAAGAACUCCGAUUGCGAAGGCAGCUGACGGGAGCGCAACUGACGCUGAAGCUCGAAGGUGCGGGUAUCGAACAGGAUUAGAUACCCUGGUAGUCCGCACAGUAAAACGAUGGAUGCCCGCUGUUGGUACCUGGUAUCAGCGGCUAAGCGAAAGCAUUAAGCAUCCCACCUGGGGAGUACGCCGGCCGG
Molecule: ribosomal RNA, 537 nt
Filed under: uncultured bacterium
Lineage: Bacteria
Description: bacterial SSU rRNA
Rfam family: Bacterial small subunit ribosomal RNA
Source: RNAcentral